RNAcentral lists this ribosomal RNA (572 nucleotides) under uncultured bacterium. RNAcentral's name for it is "partial 16S ribosomal RNA". It matches the Rfam family "Bacterial small subunit ribosomal RNA", at positions 355 to 915 of the family's 1533-position model. The record is from RNAcentral.
UAGGGAAUCUUCGGCAAUGGACGAAAGUCUGACCGAGCAACGCCGCGUGAGUGAAGAAGGUUUUCGGAUCGUAAAACUCUGUUGUUAGAGAAGAACGUUGCAUAGAGUGGAAAAUUAUGCAAGUGACGGUAUCUAACCAGAAAGGGACGGCUAACUACGUGCCAGCAGCCGCGGUAAUACGUAGGUCCCGAGCGUUGUCCGGAUUUAUUGGGCGUAAAGCGAGCGCAGGUGGUUUAAUAAGUCUGAUGUAAAAGGCAGUGGCUCAACCAUUGUGUGCAUUGGAAACUGUUAGACUUGAGUGCAGUAGAGGAGAGUGGAAUUCCAUGUGUAGCGGUGAAAUGCGUAGAUAUAUGGAGGAACACCGGUGGCGAAAGCGGCUCUCUGGACUGUCACUGACACUGAGGCUCGAAAGCGUGGGUAGCAAACAGGAUUAGAUACCCUGGUAGUCCACGCCGUAAACGAUGAGUGCUAGUUGUUUGGGGCUAUCCAGCCCUAAGUGACGCAGCAAACGCAUUAAGCACUCCGCCUGGGGAGUACGACCGCAAUGGUUGAAACUCUAAAGUGAAUUGACG